RNA transcript from Dermochelys coriacea (leatherback sea turtle), 3552 nucleotides. It is a transcript of the gene named glutaredoxin and cysteine rich domain containing 2, with no coding region annotated. The record is from RefSeq and is a predicted model, not a curated record. The transcript is spliced from 4 exons. NCBI's taxonomy places the organism in Eukaryota, Metazoa, Chordata, Testudines, Dermochelyidae.
UAUUUUUCAGCCAUAUGAGAUAGUCUGGGAAGGAUGCAGACAGAAAGUUUAGUUUAAGCACUACUCAAUGAAAUCACAUUUAAUUAUGAAGACAUUUUACUGUAAUAUCAGGGAUUCUAAGCAAAAAGGCAGAGAUUGCAGCUAUUGCUCCAUGUACAUCAUGAAAGUAGAUUUUUAUAGGAUCUUUAAAUGCCAGGUGACAGUUAUUCUGCUGAUGCAUUAUGCUACUUAGCGUACAUUUCCCUGGACAUGAAAGAAAAGCCCGAAAUGCACAGCUGGGAAUGGGAACAGUAAGGCCUAAUACCUACUUUACCAGAGCAGCAAAGUGCAUGCCACUAAGACAUAGGCCGAGAUCCUUGACAGUGCCUUAGUAUUGAAAGGCAAGAGACAUGAGGAGCUGCUAGCUGCAAUAUGGAUGGGGGGGCAUUGUGAAUGUCAGGACAUUAAAGGUGCUUCAGUAGGAGAAUAAACUAGGACUCAUAUCAGAUAAUGUAGAUAUUUGCUACAGUUACCAGUGCCUUGCAGUUUGAACAGCCAUUGAAAAAAAAUAUCUGCAUAACAGCUGUAGCAAUUGCUGUUUUUCUGAAGUGAAGAAAAGAAUUCAGGCAGUGAUGAUCUUGGGCCUGAUCCUCCAAUGCCUUGCACCUUGUGUAGUGUAAAGUGAGUGCACCAAAUCAGACCCACUGUACAGGCAUAAAUGACUACACAAGGUGCAGGACAGUGGAGAAUCAGGGCUCCUGGGUUUCUUGUGGUGGGGGGAGGUAUCUGAAGUCCUAUGUAGCAGGAGUUUGCCUUUAAAAAUAGACUAGCAAAACCAGAAUGGUUAAAAGGCCCAGCAAGCCAGUGAGAAUUACAAAUAGGGAUUUAAAGCUAAAGAAAGAGACAAUCUUAAUUAGAUCUCCACCAAACUGUAGAAAAACACAUUUGGAUUAAAAUGAAAUAGAGCUUUUUACUCCUAGCGUUUCAGAGGAGGAAUGGGGAGAACUAUUUACAUAUGCUAUUUGAGUAGAUGGAUUGCUUUUCCUAAGAACUUGUCCUCAUAACUUUCAGUCUUUUCAGAAAACUACUAAAAGCUGCCCGUAUGGUAUAUUUGGGUGAUUCUGAUCACAAUACACAGAGAGAGAGUUCCCAUGGCUAUAGACUGAGUGAGGUGUGUUCCAGUUUAAUUUCACCCUUCCAAAGUUAACGCCUGUUUGCGUUUGUACACCGGCUCAUCCAUCAUUCAGGGGAGCUCAGUGAAACUUACCUUAUAUUUCACCACCACAAUUACAUUCCAUUUCAUAAGCAUCCAUCAAUAUUUAAUACAGUGGUGUCAGCUUGACUGUAACACAAGAGGACCUAAUAGGAACCCUGAAUUAUACAUUGCACAGUUGGGAGAAAAUAAAGAGGCUUUUCUUGUAAACCCAAAGAUCUCCUUGCUGAGUUGAUUUCUGGGAGACACUGCAUGAAAUCCAUAUCAAUGGAUGAGGUUCAGAAGAAACUAAGCCAGAGGUAUGAGGCAAGACCCCGCAAAGUGAGGUUCAAAAUCUCUUCGGCAUACAGCGGCCGGGUGUUAAAGCAGGUCUAUGAAGAUGGCCAGGAACUGAAGCCUCCAGAGGAAGAAUCCACUCACCGUUUUCUCCACCACAGCUUUGAGUCAGGGGACCAUUUCAACAGGGCUGGAGAGGCACCAGAAUCCAGGUUUUAUUCAUCAGUCAAACUGACUGCCCAAAGGAUCAGUGUAUUCAAAGACGGUACCAAGUACAAUCUAGCAAGUAACCCUCCACUCUUCAGUGAUUACCAAGCAAGUGAUAGUCAUCGCAGGCCCUCCCCCGUUUUAGAUUUUGGCAAGAUUGUCAUCUACACUAGUAACCUGAAAAUCAUCCGCACACCAAUGGACAAGAAGGAGCUGAUGAGAAAAAUCAUCCAGAACGAGGGAACUGAUGACUGGUCCUUCAUGUACCGAGAUGGGAAGGAAAGGGAUGGUCAUCAAAUCAAUGGGUGUGUGAAAGAUGCAGAAAACCAACUUGCUGACAACCAGUAUGUGCAGGGAGGAGACACUGAGCACUAUUGCUCCCAGUGUAACGGAUCAGGCUCAGCCCCCUGCUCUCUGUGCCAUGGAAGCAAGUUUUCAAUGUUGGCUAACAGAUUUAAAGAGUCCUACAGGGAUCUCCGAUGUCCUGCUUGCAAUGAAAAUGGCCUGCAACCUUGCCAGGUCUGUGCCCAAUAAUCGUAUCUACCAUCCCUUCAAUUACAUAUGCGUAUCCAGGUCAAUGUUUCACUGAAACCUUAGUACACAUUAUCUAUUCUACAUAUAAGAAAGCAACCAGUGUAUAAUAACAGGUUAUUAAAAAGUGGCAAGAGUGCAUUGUGUACACCCCUAAAUCUACAUGUAAACCUACUCCUAUUACUGUUACUCCACCGCCCUCCCCAUCAGUUUGUCUGUACAUGCCCCUGUUGCGUCUUCUAAUUAAAUUAGGCCCCAAUCCUGCAAACACUUACACAUUGUGCUUAAUUUGACAUGUGAGCAAUCCAGUGAAGUCAAAGGGAGUACACAUAUUUAUAAAUUAAGCACAUGCUUAACUCUGUAGGGUAGAGAAUGCGUGCUUACAUAGUGCCUGGUACAGUGGGGCUGCAAUGUCUGGGCCCUGUAGGUACUCCUGUAAUAAAAUAAUAACACUAAUAAGCAGCAGAAGUAGCUGUACUUUAAGCAUAUGAGUAACUUGUCAAAUUACAAAAUGUUUGUAUAAAAACAAUGCUGCAUGUUUGCAAAACCUCCUCUUAGAUUUAACUUGGUGGACAUUUUAAAUUGAUACUUUAUUGUGCAUUUCACUCUACCCUACAGUGGAUUUCCUGCAGAUUUCAAAUAUAGUCCUUAUGGUACACAGCAGUUCUCCCAGUGUAUGAUUUAAGUAGCUGACUAGAGCCUGUCUCCAGGUCUGAAACCUUACUGAGAAAUUAUCAUGGGGAAAUUAAAAAUAGAAAAACUGGAGCAUUUUAUAGUCUGAUCCUGAGAAAUGCUGACCCACAGCUCCCAUUGAUGUUAAUGGGAAUUGAGGGUAUUCAGCUCUGCUCCGGAUCAGGCUGUUGGUGAACAGGGCUUCUGUUGCUUCGUAUUAAUCCCAUGUUGUAAUUUGCAAAAUAUAAACUCUAAUUAUUUUAGCUGAAGCAGCGAUGUUAAAUUGUUAGCAGGCUACCAGUGGCAGCACAGGACACAAGGGCUUCAUAAAAAGUGAAGACAAACAGGGGAAAUGCUUUUUGUUUUCUAAAAGCUUAUUACACUUGAUAUUCUUGGGUAAUGUUAAUGAAGGUUUAACUUGCAUAUUAUCUCUGAGACUCUGAAUUAAGAGGCUUUUUACGUGCUCUACAUGCUGAGGUUGCAAGUCUAGACAGAGUCAUUUAUGGUUGAGUUUGUACUUUGGCAUGUGUAUGUUAUAAGAUUUCUCUGAGACAGCUGGAUUAUUAGAAAUAAUGCCAUCCUAGUUUUCAGAUCUUCUGAUGUUUGUAACUGAUAUCAAAAUUAUGCUUUUAAAAAGUGCAUAAUAAUAGCGCAGAUAAUUUAAAAAGGGAGGG